ACAUCCCAGAAUCCUAAACGAUUGGAAAACACUGUUUUACCAGUUAAAAUAUUUCCGCCACUUUUUCAUCAGAAACCGACUGGCCGCCAUCAAGCGCAUCCGCCUGCCGCCGAAGCAUCUCUGCCCUCAGUUUCUCAAACGCACGCUGGAUCCUCUCCUUUGACUCAGGGUCCUUCCCUAUUGUCCUCCGGGCGGAAUAAACGCCAGUGAUAAGUCCCGUUUCUCCACCCAUAAACAACCCCCCAGCUGCGAACAAUGUAAACAUCGCCAUGUCGCUGAGUAUUGUGGGUCGGAGCAGAGGGCUCAGAUCAGGAACCGGCUCUUGUCCAAAGUAGAUACGAAGGAAUUGUUAGUUCAAACCUAUCAAAUAAUCCCUAAGGAAGAUCUUUUUUUCAUCUUUGUCAUUCCUACCUAGCCUGCCGCUUGCAAACUGCACAUGAGUGGGCCUCUCCAUAACCUUGAAUGUAUUGAAUAUAUUCAUCCGCAUUCGCCGGACCCGUAAACCUAACCAUAUUCCCAGCCCAAUACCAACGACAGAACCGACGGCAGUGUGUGUUGCUAGCUUCGAUGCGGCGGAAUUCAGGGUAUCACGGUCCGAUUGCUGGAGAUUAUGCUUCAGAUGUUCCCGCGCCAGAUAGGCAAGCUCCUGGCGGGUCGUGCCGCGGAAGGCCGCGAGCGAAUCGGGCAUUUUGUUUCUAGAUCUUUAUUUUCCGGCUUACUUUAACGGGAUAUAGAUAUGGUACCCUUGGAAAUUGGGAAGGAAAGGCGUAUUCGCGACCAAUUCAAUUAUGGCCAUAAUUUCAUAAUGGUUAUGGUGAUGACGGUUGAGCAGGCGGAGCUAUAUAAGAUCCUGAAUCUGUGACGUCAUCACGCAAGCUUCUGAGAUCCAGACCUAGCUUGGUACUUUAACAUUUCGUUCAUGAUUUUAAUAGCGUUGCCCAAAGAGAACGUCGUAUCUUGAAACAAAUUAAAUUUGAAUGCGGAGAAGAUACUAUUGAUAUUUAACCGUUGGUCUUUCAGGUGAUAUAUGAAACCUCUUCUUUUGAGGCCCAUGACAGCUAACCCGACUGCUCCUGCCAACCGCGUUGCUGGUAAGUGAUUAUUGAAUGUCCAUUGGAAACUAAAUGCAGUCAAUCUUUCCAGCAGCCAUCGUUACUCUACCCCUUAAUAGACCAGAGAAGCAGCAACAAAAAUGCUUACGUUCCAAAUUGGGCGAAUCGUUAGGAUGAUGAAAUACGUCCCCGUUCCCGGCGACCGAGGAAUUCCUCCUACCCCUCAAGAUCCCUACUUUCAUGGAUCUCUAAGUUGCACUCUUCUGAUAUUCUUGGGCAUAUCGAGAUGAUUCACUUGACGAAAAGACAGCAUAUUAACCAUUAACCCAAGGCAUAAGAGAACUAGUAAUACUUAUGUUCCCUUGAGAGUGAAAUGAUUGGCCAAGUAACUUUUACUUUCCGGCCUGUUCAACUCGACAAGCAGAUUCGGUGGGGUCUUAAAAUCCCCUAAGGGAGGGUUUCUCGAACCUAACUCGAGCUUGCGGAUGCAAGAAGGGAAGUGGCUUGUUCCCGUGGUAUAUACGAUUUUUGUUAUAAAGUUUGAGUCCUUCCCUAUUUGAAGCUCAUUCCACGAAUUUUGCUUAGAUAGAUUGGAUAUAAAGAUUCUGGUGGAAAGGCAAAAUAGAUAAGCAAAUAAGAUUGGUUUCUAUGACGGGAUAGCCAUUACUUGUGGAGCGGUGGAUGGGUAGCCAGAUCUCCACGGCGUGAUAGAUGCUGCUAAAAACUUGGAUAGCAAGUAGCCUAUGAUAUCAUACG
This 1808-nucleotide small RNA is filed under the name Histoplasma ohiense. RNAcentral's name for it is "hypothetical lncRNA". Lineage: Eukaryota; Fungi; Ascomycota; Eurotiomycetes; Onygenales; Ajellomycetaceae. The record is from RNAcentral.